This 645-nucleotide long non-coding RNA is filed under the name Brassica napus (rape). Its description in RNAcentral is "long non-coding RNA (BNAP_LNC019406)". Lineage: Eukaryota; Viridiplantae; Streptophyta; Magnoliopsida; Brassicales; Brassicaceae. The record is from RNAcentral.
UGACCCCGUCUAUCUGAGUCUUCCCGAUCCAGCGAAUAAGGGGUUUCUUUGAACCCACCGGGUACGAGGUCUGAAGGAACAGUAACUCACCCCAAUAUGCCUAGCAUUGUGGGUUACACAAAUGUUAUCGGCCAAUAUACGAUUAAUACUAAACCCGGUAAAAAUAACACAAGGUUCCUAGUAUUAAUUACCACACAAUCAACACAUUCAACUUCAAGCAUGCCUAGCAUUGUGGAUUACACAAAUGCUAUAUGGCCAAUACAUGACUAAUACUAAACCCGGUAAAAUAACACAAGGUUUCAAGUAGUAAUCACAACCCAAUCAAACAUAUUCUAGAAUCUAGCAUAAAGACUAAUUCCAGAAUACCUAACUAUCCACAACUUAGCGAUAUCAUCUAAGCAUUCAGUAUUCGCUAACUAACCAAUCAAUCUAACCAUUAGCAUGCUACUAUGGUUCCCAAGCAAUAACUAAGCAUGCUAUCAACUCAAUCAACUAAACAUCAACUAUUAACUAAUCAAACCGUUACUCAGUUAGACCCGGCCUCCUGCCAUGAUCCAACUUCCAAGUAACGGGAACCUGCAUGAAAACAAGUCAGCAAUCAAUUGAUUAUAACUCACAGUGUUCUUUGCCAAUAAGCAGCUGGUU